Neofelis nebulosa (Clouded leopard) is the source of this 2318-nucleotide long non-coding RNA. RefSeq lists it as uncharacterized. The record is from RefSeq and is a predicted model, not a curated record. Lineage: Eukaryota; Metazoa; Chordata; Mammalia; Carnivora; Felidae. The transcript has 3 exons.
UGGGAGGAAGGUAAAGUAUUGAGUUUGGGAGACAAGAGCCCCGGCUGGUGGGGGGUGGGGGGGACAGUCUGGCUAAGCCUCACCUGGGGACAGGAGAAAGCUCUGGGGUCGGUCAAGAUAAACCUGGCCUUCUAGAGUUUUCCGGAGCAGAGAUGGUUCUGCCAUGCAGUCCUUUGGGGGCUUUUAGACAAGAUCGCAGCCGGAGAAGAGAGGCCGGAGGCCAGGCAAGGAGAAGAGAUCCACAAGGCUUACAGGUCAGAGCCAUUCAUGUUUCUUAGGCCCCUGGCUUCCAGGUGGAACAGGUCCUGAGGCCCCUCUGCCCACCUGUCAGUCAAGGCCCUUUGAAAGCCCCCUCCACCUGCCCUUUAUCCAUUAACUCCUUCCUUCAACAAAGGUUUGUGAAGCACUUCCUCCGUGUCAGGCAGGGUGAGCUUCCUGGGCGGGCAACCGUGGGGACGCCCAGGCCCCAAAGCUCAAAAGGGCCUCACGCUUGGCUUAAUGUUCUGCUGCUUCUGUGUUGCAAUUCUUCCUAAUCUAUGAACAAAGGGCCCCUGUUUUCAUUUUGCACUGGGCCCUGCAACUUACGCGCCCGUCCCAGUGCCGAGCACAGUGCUGGGCUGGAGGGCACCGCAGAGAGCGAGCCCGCACGGCGGCCUCCAUCGCAAAGCUGGCUUUCAGCCCAGAGGAGACGAAGCGGGAACCUUCAACGGGAUUAGAGGUCCGGAGGGGUGGCAGUGCUGUCCCUUGAUUCUCUCGGAGAAGGAUGUGGUGCAUUCGGCCGGGGCCAGGCAGCACAGGGAACACAGGAGGGUCAGGGAGCAGAGACCCGAACGGGCAUCGUGGUGGGUAGGAAGCAAACACAGGGGCCUGCGGAGGCAGUCAGAGGAGUGCUGGCGGGCCUCCCGAGUCCACGGUGAGGGGCGCGCCCUAGGUCAUCUCGUGAUAAGCCACGGGGCUAAGUCAACAGGAUGAGGCAGUGGGAAGGAGAUCUCCUGGACCAGAUGCCGUUGACCUGCGUCCUGGAAGGAGGAGGGAGAGCCAGCUUCGCCAGGGAAAGGCAUCCUAGGCAGAGCGACCAGCAGGUGCACAGGCUGUGCAGAACAAGGAACAGACGCGAGGCUUUGUUGCCCCUGAGCUCACUUCCGUCACCAGCUGAGAUGAAGGAGGUUACUUUCUUCCCGAGUCCUCUGCUGCAGCCCUGUCUGCUUUUUAAUCCACUCUUAAGUUUUUCAGGGGGAUUUUGACCAGCGAGGGAGGCAGGGGGUGGGGGCAGCCGGUGCUGGUGCUGCCGAUUUACAUAUGAAAACAACUGAUUGGUCAGCAUCUGCCCUGCUCCCCCCAACCCCAGGAAGGCCCUGAAGCCAGGAUUAUGGUUCACCCCUCUGCACAUCCCACCGGGAGCCCAGUGGAGCCUGGCCCACAGCAGGUGCUCAACCAAAGAAAACCCAUCUACCAGCCAGAUGCUGGACUCCAGUUUGCCACUGUCCCUGUAUAGGUCUCUGCUGGGUUCGGAGGGUGUAUGCAGCCUCCCCACUCCCCACACCAAAGGACCCCAAGCAGCUGGAACUUUUGAUCAAGGACGCUUUUCACAUAUGCUCGACACAGAAAACAGAAACAGAGCUUCUCCGGUUAAACAGAGCAAGAAAGGCGGCUGUAAUUGCUGCGAUUAACAAAGAAGAAUGUAGAAUGCCCAGUUAAAUGUGAAUUUCGGACAAAUAAUGAACGAUUUUUUUUUUAAUUUUUUAUUUAUUUUUGGGAGAGAAACAGUGCGCGCGAGCGAGUGGGGGAGGGGCAGAGGGAGAGGGAGACACAGAAUCCUGAAGCAGGCUCCAGGCUCCGAGCUGUCGGCACAGAGCCCGACGCGGGGCUCGAACCCACGAACCGCGAGACCGUGACCUGAGCCGGAGUCGGAUGCCACCCAGGCGCCCCAAUAAUGAAUGGCUUUCAGUCUAAGUACGUCCCAUGCUUUAUUUGAGACGUACUGAGACUAAACGUUUAUUUCUUUGUUUAUUGAAAAAGAUCGUUUGAUCGUUUAAGCCACCGUGUAGUGAGUUUCAGUCGGUUGCAACCCACAUCCUGCCAAUGUGUGUAUCAUGUCCUUCAUCUUGAAGAGAGAGAAAUCGAGACCCACAGAAAAAGUGUGGGGCCCAAAGUCUCCCAGUGAGUCAGGACAGAGCUGGCAUUCAAAUCUGGGGUUCUGGCUCCCAGGGUCCUGGGAACCCUUCAGUGUCCCAUAUUGUACAUGUCUCCAUGUCUGUUUCUUCUUCCUUCUCUGGCCUCCCUCGCUGUGUUCCUGCCCAGCAUUUGUUAUAUAUAAA